CCUACGGGAGGCAGCAGUGGGGAAUAUUGGACAAUGGGCGAAAGCCUGAUCCAGCAAUGCCGCGUGAGUGAUGAAGGCCUUCGGGUCGUAAAGCUCUUUUACCAGGGAUGAUAAUGACAGUACCUGGAGAAUAAGCUCCGGCUAACUCCGUGCCAGCAGCCGCGGUAAUACGGAGGGAGCUAGCGUUGUUCGGAAUUACUGGGCGUAAAGAGUACGUAGGCGGUUAUUCAAGUCAGAGGUGAAAGCCCGGGGCUCAACCCCGGAACUGCCUUUGAAACUAGAUAACUAGAGUCUUGGAGAGGUUAGUGGAAUUCCGAGUGUAGAGGUGAAAUUCGUAGAUAUUCGGAAGAACACCAGUGGCGAAGGCGACUAACUGGACAAGUACUGACGCUGAGGUACGAAAGCGUGGGGAGCAAACAGGAUUAGAUACCCUGGUAGUCCACGCCGUAAAACGAUGAUAACUAGUUGUUCGGUCACUUGGUGACUGAGUGACGCAGCUAACGCAUUAAGUUAUCCGCCUGGGGAGUACGGUCGCAAGAUUAAAACUCAAAGGAAUUGACGG
Molecule: ribosomal RNA, 562 nt
Filed under: uncultured bacterium
Lineage: Bacteria
Description: bacterial SSU rRNA
Rfam family: Bacterial small subunit ribosomal RNA
Source: RNAcentral